UACAGAGAGUGCAAACGUUGUUCGGAAUUACUGGGCUUAAAGCGCACGUAGGCGGCGUCGUAAGUGUCAGGUGAAAUCCCACGGCUCACCCGUGGAACUGCCUGGCAGACUGCGAUGCUAGAGUGUGGUAGGGGAGAGCGGAACUCUUGGUGGAGCGGUGAAAUGCGUAGAUAUCAAGAGGAACACCGGUGGCGAAGGCGGCUCUCUGGUCCACAACUGACGCUGAGGUGCGAAAGCUAGGGGAGCAAACGGG
This 253-nucleotide ribosomal RNA is filed under the name uncultured bacterium. Its description in RNAcentral is "partial 16S ribosomal RNA". It matches the Rfam family "Bacterial small subunit ribosomal RNA", at positions 524 to 776 of the family's 1533-position model. The record is from RNAcentral.